CUGGUCUGAGAGGAUGAUCAACCUCAUCGGGACUGAGACACGGCCCGAACUCCUACGGGAGGCAGCAGUGGGGAAUAUUGGACAAUGGGGGCAACCCUGAUCCAGCCAUGCCGCGUGUGUGAAGAAGGCCCUCGGGUUGUAAAGCACUUUCAGCGAGGAAGAACGCCUGUCGGUUAAUACCCGGCAGGAAAGACAUCACUCGCAAAAGAAGCACCGGCUAACUCCGUGCCAGCAGCCGCGGUAAUACGGAGGGUGCAAGCGUUAAUCGGAAUUACUGGGCGUAAAGCGCGCGUAGGUGGCUUGAUAAGCCGGUUGUGAAAUCCCCGGGCUCAACCUGGGAACGGCAUCCGGAACUAUUAGGCUAGAGUGCAGGAGAGGAAGGUAGAAUUCCCGGUGUAGCGGUGAAAUGCGUAGAGAUCGGGAGGAAUACCAGUGGCGAAGGCGGCCUUCUGGACUGACACUGACACUGAGGUGCGAAAGCGUGGGUAGCAAACAGGAUUAGAUACCCUGGUAGUCCACGCCGUAAACGAUGUCGACCAGCCGUUGGGUGCCUAGCGCACUUUGUGGCGAAGUUAACGCGAUAAGUCGACCGCCUGGUGAGUACGGCCGCAAGGUUAAAACUCAAAUGAAUUGACGGGGGCCCGCACAAGCGGUGGAGCAUGUGGUUUAAUUCGAUGCAAUCGCGAAGAACCUUACCUACCCUUGACAUCCUGGCGAACUUUGU
Molecule: ribosomal RNA, 724 nt
Filed under: Halomonas sp. RAS42
Lineage: Bacteria; Pseudomonadati; Pseudomonadota; Gammaproteobacteria; Oceanospirillales; Halomonadaceae
Description: bacterial SSU rRNA
Rfam family: Bacterial small subunit ribosomal RNA
Source: RNAcentral